Molecule: ribosomal RNA, 460 nt
Filed under: uncultured bacterium
Lineage: Bacteria
Description: partial 16S ribosomal RNA
Rfam family: Bacterial small subunit ribosomal RNA
Source: RNAcentral
CCUACGGGAGGCAGCAGUGAGGAAUAUUGGUCAAUGGACGAGAGUCUGAACCAGCCAAGUAGCGUGAAGGAUGACUGCCCUAUGGGUUGUAAACUUCUUUUAUAUGGGAAUAAAACGUUCCACGUGUGGGAUUUUGUAUGUACCAUAUGAAUAAGGAUCGGCUAACUCCGUGCCAGCAGCCGCGGUAAUACGGAGGAUCCGAGCGUUAUCCGGAUUUAUUGGGUUUAAAGGGUGCGUAGGUGGAUUGUUAAGUCAGUUGUGAAAGUUUGCGGCUCAACCGUAAAAUUGCAGUUGAAACUGGCAGUCUUGAGUAGAGGAGAGGUGGGCGGAAUGCGUGGUGUAGCGGUGAAAUGCUUAGAUAUCACGAAGAACUCCGAUUGCGAAGGCAGUUCACUGGACUGCAACUGACACUGAGGCUCGAAAGUGUGGGUAUCAAACAGGAUUAGAUACCCGUGUAGUC